AAAAAUGCAGUGCGCGAAUAACAUGGGGGACUAAUUGGGAAAUAUUCCCCAUCCUCCCAAAACGCAGCUCUGCGAUAUGGACUGAAAUGAAGCAAAAGAUAAAUGAUAGGCCAAAUUUAAAAUAAGUGAAAGAAUUGAUCCGGAUGCGCUAUAAAAGCAGGAGGACCAUUUGCGCAAAUAUCCCACUGAAGCAAAAACAUGCGGAUCCUUCCCCUGGGUCGGGUCACCGCGCGGGUCACUGAGGCUAAAACGGCACCGUUUUCAGAGCCAUUGAAAUUUGACCAUAUCGACGUCGUUUCCUAAUCUAUAUACAUACUAUUAAAAAAAAAACCUAAAUCACUUUAUUUCCUUUUCGGUUCUUUGAAAUCGAUUGCAUCCCAGGCCACCUCCCGCCGUUCUCAGCCGAAACAACAGCCCCUUUCAAUCUUCGAUUUUAACAGAGCAUAUGGAGGCCGACGACAGACUGGCAGAGGUAACCCCCUCCUAUUCUCUCUAUUUCUUCUUAUUAUUCCUAUUUUUUAAAAGACGAAUCGAAAAUAGAAAGAAAGAAAGAACAAAAUAUCACCUCUUGUGAAAUUUUUUGAUUCCCUUUUUUUUGUAUUGAUUCUGUGUGUCCGUUAUAGGUUUUUGAAAGGCUUUUUUAUAGCCCAUGAAAGAAAAGCAAAAAUGAAAAAAAUACAAACUUAUUUUCUUUUUCUUUUUCUUUUUCUGUUAUUUCUUUUUUCUGCACUUCUUUUGUUGUUUGUUUGUAUGCUGCGCAGGUACGGCCGUACGAAGGGUAGACGUGGCGCGUACGGAGGCGCAGGUGAGGCUGAGGGAGAACCCUGGUAGCUGGCGCUGUAAGCUGUGAUGCUAGGGUUCUCUGAUUCAUUUUUGUGUUGGGCUAGGGUUGGGCUUGUAACACGAUUGGGCUAGGGAUUGUAUUUAGGUUAGGUUUGAGCUAGGGGUUUUGGUUAACUGUUUAAUGGACUGUUAAUGGACUUUGUAUUUUUAUUAUUUGGUUUUUUUUAUAAAACGGGCCGGGCAAAUUAGUAUGAAUUAAAAUAAAAUUUGUAAAAAGACUUAAAAUCCCCAGGCAUGGUGGAGGAGACAAUACUACUAACAAUAAAAACAAUCCACGGUCUAAGGCGUUAUCUUACAGUAUAACUACUGCAAUUAUAGUGCACUCUAAAAUGUGCACCUGGGAAUCCAAUAUAAGAAAUAUCAACAGCUACACCACCACCACCUCGUAAAUCAUAAUAGCAAAGCAAUCAACAAAACAAAUAGAACUCUCUACGGGCAAAGCCAAGGCUAAAGCUAGGCAUCAACCAUUAAUUUGAACACAGGAAGCUAUUAAAUGCCCUUAAAAGAAAGACCGUGCCAAACUCAAACCAUCCAUCUAUCAAACAUACCUCAAUCAUACCAUUCUAACCUCAUAUAAUAUGGUACUCCAUUCCCUUUUUCCCCUUGAAAUAUUAUCAAACAUAUAUAUAUGUAUAUAAAACGCUUAUGGCUGGAAUUCUGAUUCUUGAAUUCCAAAUGCAUGCUCAUUGCAACAACUAACAUAAUCAUAACAUAAUGCCCCUCAUUUUUCUCAACAUCUGAAAGUGUGAGAGCAGCAAAAGCAAAUACAUCACAAAUACAUCACCUAAGAAAAAGAAUGAAGUCAAGAAAAUUAAGCCAUGAAAGUUUAAACUAACACGGAAGGCAAAAAAGUGCAAUAGUGCAAUACAGAACUUACUAAUCACCUUUCUUAUGUCUUAACAUCUUCUUCAGUAUCUCAGCUUUCAACUGACUAAGUUAUUUUAGCUUAAAUGCUAAGUAAGCCUCAUACCUAAACCAUCCUUAAGUAACUGCAAUUAUAAAAAAAAGUGUUUCCUAGCAUGAAGUUUAUACUCUACUGCCACUCUUAAACUCCAUAUUUAAUGUCAUGUUCCUCAAUCAGAAACUAAUCUUCACAAGGAUUCAACCUAGAGAGGUGAGAAAUUGAAUCAAUUGCCGAAUACAACCAAGUUUUACAGAGACUACCAUGCUUAAUAUCACUUUACAAUUGUAUAGAUAACAGAACUUAAGGUUUGCAGAAACAAUUUCUAGGCACUGUGCUUUUGAAUUUAUCUUUCAAAUGGAAAGCGGGAAACAUUAAACAGAGGAUACCGACACUGCUUAAGGUGAUAUAUAUAUAUAUAUAUGAUAAAGAAGAUUCAUAAUCAUGAGCAACAGAACUGCAUCACCAACAUACAAGCACCUCUUUCGGUUUCAUGUACCAGAUAAUUUUAUGCCACAGAAGUGCAGAUGACAGUCGAUUGAUGAGACAAACCGUUUGCAGGCAAUCGCAUGAAAUAUAAUAAAAUUAGCAUCCAAGAGGUAACAAUCCUAGGAUCACAAUACCAUAGAACAAAGAUGCAAUCGUUACACAAUCAAAGGUAGGUCAAUAAGAAACUAAUAAUAAGCUUAAAAUGUUGUAUGAAGGCUUUAGAUCGACAUCACAUAGAAUGAUAAAAAGAUUAAAGCAUAUUAGAAUAAAGCAAGCAGCAAAUAGCGUCCAGAGUAAUACAAUAACAGUACAAGUGCUUGGAUUGCAUAUUACAUAUUUUAAAAAAAGAAACUUUAAAUAAAAUAAGAAAUCAUAGACAGACAUAGACAUGAUUUACCGAAGUACCGAACAAUCAAACCGAGAACUUAUUUAAAUAAUUAAUAACAACUAUGGCAUUUGAUCAAAGGGCUUCCUUAACGUUAACAGCAGGAUUCGCAGGAAUGUUAACAUACCCCACUUUUUUAGGGCUAAAUUCUUCGUCAGACUCAUCAUCCUCAUGGUACUCGCAACGGGCCGUGAAGAUAAUCCAGACCAAGUAGAUGGCGGCGGCAGUGAGAGAGCCGCAGCCGACGCCGAAGAGGAGAGCGACGACAACGCUGAGAAUGUCCCUACU
RNAcentral lists this long non-coding RNA (2906 nucleotides) under Gossypium barbadense (sea-island cotton). RNAcentral describes it as "long non-coding RNA (GBAR_LNC021507)". Lineage: Eukaryota; Viridiplantae; Streptophyta; Magnoliopsida; Malvales; Malvaceae. The record is from RNAcentral.